Molecule: transfer RNA, 76 nt
Filed under: Candidatus Moraniibacteriota bacterium
Lineage: Bacteria; Candidatus Moraniibacteriota
Description: Candidatus Moranbacteria bacterium (sediment metagenome) tRNA-Phe
Rfam family: tRNA
About the family: Transfer RNA (tRNA) molecules are approximately 80 nucleotides in length. Their secondary structure includes four short double-helical elements and three loops (D, anti-codon, and T loops). Further hydrogen bonds mediate the characteristic L-shaped molecular structure. tRNAs have two regions of fundamental functional importance: the anti-codon, which is responsible for specific mRNA codon recognition, and the 3' end, to which the tRNAs corresponding amino acid is attached (by aminoacyl-tRNA synthetases). tRNAs cope with the degeneracy of the genetic code in two manners: having more than one tRNA (with a specific anti-codon) for a particular amino acid; and 'wobble' base-pairing, i.e. permitting non-standard base-pairing at the 3rd anti-codon position.
Source: RNAcentral
GCCGAGGUAGCCAAGGUGGUCACGGCGCGUGUCUGAAAAACAUGAGAUGGCAGUUCGACUCUGCCCCUCGGCACAA